Molecule: long non-coding RNA, 362 nt
Filed under: Homo sapiens (human)
Lineage: Eukaryota; Metazoa; Chordata; Mammalia; Primates; Hominidae
Description: PREDICTED lncRNA (TCONS_00164366)
Source: RNAcentral
CCUGACUAGCAGUUCUCAGCUUAACUUUUCCCUUUGGCUUGGUGAUUUUAGGGUUGUGAGAUCUAUUUUCCUUUUACAGGUCCAUUUGAGUCCUUGCUCCCUUUUGCUAUUGUGGCCAGGGAGGCAGCUGGUGGCUGAUUGAUCCCCUUUCCCUCUGGAGCUUCAACUGGGACUGUCCUGGAGAUUGGCUACCAUCAUGUCCAUCAGGGAAGAGGCCUGAGGAGUUGACCCUGAGAGUACUCACCGAUUAACCUCCUAUAUACUGACCUUCAUCUCAGGAUCUGCUUCUUGGAAAAACUGAACUGCAACGCCAUGGUUUAUGUUUUACGUACAAACUGAGUCCGCAUAAAGCUUUAUACAGA